RNAcentral lists this ribosomal RNA (301 nucleotides) under uncultured bacterium. RNAcentral describes it as "partial 16S ribosomal RNA". It matches the Rfam family "Bacterial small subunit ribosomal RNA", at positions 509 to 807 of the family's 1533-position model. The record is from RNAcentral.
CAGCAGCCACGGUAAUACGGAGGGUGCAAGCGUUAUUCGGAAUUACUGGGCGUAAAGCGCACGCAGGCGGUUGCCCAAGUCAGAUGUGAAAGCCCCGGGCUUAACCUGGGAACUGCAUUUGAAACUGGGCGACUAGAGUAUGAAAGAGGAAAGCGGAAUUUCCAGUGUAGCAGUGAAAUGCGUAGAUAUUGGAAGGAACACCGAUGGCGAAGGCAGCUUUCUGGGUCGAUACUGACGCUCAUGUGCGAAAGCGUGGGGAGCAAACAGGAUUAGAUACCCCCGUAGUCCCUGUCUCUUAUAC